This 208-nucleotide long non-coding RNA is filed under the name Arabidopsis lyrata. RNAcentral describes it as "long non-coding RNA (ALYR_LNC000519)". Lineage: Eukaryota; Viridiplantae; Streptophyta; Magnoliopsida; Brassicales; Brassicaceae. The record is from RNAcentral.
UUUUCCACAACUGCUCUUAUUUCUCCACCUUCUUUAUCUCCUCUGACAUCGGGUCGAGCUUUUUCGACAACAAUUAUAUUUUGGGUCCAUCGCCUUCAUAAUUCUUAAUUUGUCUCCAUCGCCAUUUAUUCUUAAUUUGUCUAUCGAUCUAUUUGUUUAUCUAUAGAAGUGAGUAUUUAGAAUCCUUUUUCUUCUACGAUUAAUAAUU